Molecule: non-coding RNA, 87 nt
Organism: Armillaria borealis
Lineage: Eukaryota; Fungi; Basidiomycota; Agaricomycetes; Agaricales; Physalacriaceae
Source: the annotation of a GenBank genome assembly
GACUCCUUAGCUCAGUGGUAGAGCGUGUGAUUCCAGCUUUGUGCUUUGGAUUCCACAAGGUCGUGCGUUCAAUCCGCCCAGGAGUCA